UUUUAAAGUUGUUGAACGAAACCGGGUUUUCGACAUUUUGCCGCUGAUAACCUGUCACUCGAACCACAUCGUGUUGGUCAUUUUUAUAACUUGGUCAAACAUUAUCACAUUGUCUCAUCCUUGACUUCUGAAACAAUCCACAUCGUCAAAUACCGCUCGUGAACCAUCGUCGUCUCCAGACUUGUUGUGUUUAAAAUUUUGUGAAAGCGUGUGUGUUUGUGUGGGUGUCAGAAGGUAUGGAGGACAAAAGCGAGUGGAUUAGACUCUCGGUGGUGGUAUUGUGGUCAGAGGUAAUGUGUUCUUCGGACUGAAUUGCUUUGAAUUCCACUCUACCCUCUACCCUUUAAUGGAAGGCAUUUGUUUUGAUCUCUUUGAGCUUUUUCUCUGCUUUGCUUCAAGUCUAACUCGUUGGCCUUGUUUGAAACCCUUAAUCUAUUUGUCUCAUUUCCUGUUCCAUGAUCCUCAGGUGUAUUUUUGAAGAGGUGAAUUGUGGUGACACUAGUGGUUUUGUAUAAACUACCUUUGUGGUAUAAUUGAGAAGUUGUUCUGCACACGUUUGGCUGAAAAACGGAUUUGUUUUUGUUUGGGAACAAAGAAUGUUUUGGUCUCUCUCCUAAUCCCCCCCACCCCCUUGACUGUUUACAUGAGUACAUGGUGCUGUGGGUCGAUCUGCUUCGUUGUGCAGGGUCUGAGAGGUCCAUUAUUGAAGCCAAUAUCCCAUGCGUGACAAACCCUGCCAGUGAUUUGAUUUGGCGUCAUGUCGGCGCUGCCAGUCCCUGGGAUUACCUCACACGGAGGACGUUUGGGACUGUGAACACUUGGGUAUCGAUGGUUGAAAUGUUGAGCAGUAUUCUGGCACAGGACACCAUGAACCCGUCAUCUUCAACUGCCCAAAUGAACGGCUCAAUGAGCAGCACCUCAUCCAUCUUCCCAACAAGUGAUGACGCUCAAACCGUUUCAACUCGAGUCACCACCGUUGAUGAAUCGAGUCCGAGCACCGUUGAGUGGAACUCGAGCACGAGUCUGGGAAGCGCCAGCACUCCAGAAAUGAAUACCAAUGGCACCACCUCGGGUCUAGCCCCAACUUCUGUGACGACCUUCUUGGCUAGUACGUCUAAGAAUAUGUCAGGCACUGCCACAGCGGAAGGGCCAGUUUAUGACACGAGCAGUACCACUUCCCAGCAGGGUGCAUUGAGCUCCAGUUCUUCAGAGAUCGCACGGAGCACGGGAUUCAGCACGUCAGUUGGUACUUUGAUUUCUGCUUCGACUCAGUUGCACACGACAGGAACAGAGCAAGCAUUGAAGCCUGAGCCACCAGGUACCCUCUCAGCUGGCGCGGUUUCUGUGAUCAUCGCUUUCUGCGUGCUGGGCCUCAUCGUGUUGCUUGGAGCAGCAGUGUAUUACAUCCGCAGCAAACGUGGGCCAGAGUUUGAGCGCCUGCAAGAUGACGUACCCAUGACUGCCGUAAAGGGACAUGUCCAAGAGGGAAUGCCAUUUGCCCAUUUGGAGAAGUGAUUUAACCCCUUGCUGCCUUAAAGCUUGAGUGAUGGCCGUUAAACGUUGAGAUAACCCUUUACCGAGCGAGCCCUAAGCAUUCUCUGCCUUUUGAGAGACCCAAAUGACUUCACUGAAUUGUUGCCUUUGAGGUUGAACCUGAGCUGCUUGUAUUAUUGUUGUGAUUUUUUCUGGGCAAAGAGGAUUUAUUUUGUUUGUUUGUUAUAAUUCUGAGACAUUAACUCUUUUUGAUGUACAUAUGUUGAUCCUUAUCCUUGAGCCCCCUGUUUAUUUGUACUUGCACAGCAAAUUGUGCAACUCGUCCUGUGUGGAAGCGCAGUUGCAGGCCUACAAUAAAAUGCUGAACUAGUUGAAG
Eptatretus burgeri (inshore hagfish) is the source of this 1870-nucleotide long non-coding RNA. Lineage: Eukaryota; Metazoa; Chordata; Myxini; Myxiniformes; Myxinidae. The record is from Ensembl.